GACGAACGCUGGCGGCGUGCUUAACACAUGCAAGUCGAACGGGGCUCAUCGCUUCGGUGGUGGGUCUAGUGGCGAACGGGUGAGUAACACGUGGGCAACCUGCCCCCGGCUCUGGGAUAACUCCAAGAAAUUGGGGCUAAUACCGGAUGUGACCGCUGGCCGCAUGGUCUGGUGGUGGAAAGGGUUUCCGGCUGGGGAUGGGCCCGCGGCCUAUCAGCUUGUUGGUGGGGUAGUGGCCUACCAAGGCGACGACGGGUAGCCGGCCUGAGAGGGUGACCGGCCACACGGGGACUGGGACACGGCCCAGACUCCUACGGGAGGCAGCAGUGGGGAAUAUUGCGCAAUGGGCGGAAGCCUGACGCAGCGACGCCGCGUGGGGGAUGACGGCCUUCGGGUUGUAAACCUCUUUCAGCAGGGACGAAGCCGCGAGGUGACGGUACCUGCAGAAGAAGCACCGGCCAACUACGUGCCAGCCGCCGCCGUAA
Molecule: ribosomal RNA, 485 nt
Filed under: uncultured bacterium
Lineage: Bacteria
Description: partial 16S ribosomal RNA
Rfam family: Bacterial small subunit ribosomal RNA
Source: RNAcentral